Molecule: unclassified non-coding RNA, 141 nt
Filed under: uncultured Hyaloscyphaceae
Lineage: Eukaryota; Fungi; Ascomycota; Leotiomycetes; Helotiales
Description: sequence contains ITS2
Source: RNAcentral
GACCACUCAAGCCUAGCUUGGUAUUGGGGUUCGCGGUCCCGCGGCCCCUAAAAUCAGUGGCGGUGCCGUCUGGCUUCAAGCGUAGUAAUUUUCUCGCUACGGAGUCCGGGCGGUUACUUGCCAGAAUCCCCAUUUUUACAA